CUUACACACACUGGUGAAAAAAAUCAUGAGUGUGAAGUUUGUGGGAAAUGUUUCAGUCGGAAGGGUACCCUCAAAUUACACACUCUUACACACACUGGUGAAAGAAAUCAUGAGUGUGAAGUUUGUGGGAAAUGUUUCAGUCACAAGAGUAACCUCAAAGUACACACUCUUACACACACUGGUGAAAGAAAUCAUGAGUGUGAAGUUUGUGGGAAAUGUUUCAGUCAGAAGGGUACCCUCAAUUUACACCUUGUUACACACACUGAUGCAAGAAGUCAUGAGUGUGAAGUUUGUGGGAAAAGGUUCAAACUGAAGAGUAUAUUGGACAUGCACGUCUUCAGACACUCUGGUCAUAAAGGGUUCAAGUGCGAUGUUUGUGGGAAACGUUUCAUGACUAAGGGUGAGAUUGUCAGGCACAUGAAGGUCCACUUCUCCUGAGGUGCUGUGCUGAUUCAGUUCUGCUGUGUGUGUGAGUGCAAGUGUUUGUUGUGGUGGUGUUACAGGGCUGUGUGUAGCACAGAGAACAGAAAAUAUUCAUCUGUUGGAACAAAUGGUGACUGUGACGGCAUGAUCUGUUAUUCACUUUCCACCCCAGGCUUCAUGUGGUUGGUGGGUCCUGUGAAAGGUCUGAUCUUUUUGGUGACUGUGCUGGGCUGGCUGUUGUGGCCUGGGCUUAUUGGUCAAGUGUGUGUGUUAAUAGUAAUAAUAUAGUGUAUUUGGUCUUACCAGCCGCUAAGCUAAAAAUGUACACAUUAUAAACACAUUGUAAAGAACAGUAGGUAGGGGUUCAGGGAUCUAACACAUCAGUGGGAGGUUGGAAUGAUAGUGGUGGGAGGGUUGAGUGCAGUGUGGUGGUGCCGGGGAGGGGGAGGACAUCCUCUUCCAGAUGGUGGCAAGGUGUUAGUCCCAAGGUGUGACAUUCAUGUAGGUGUGAAAGAGGGGUGACGAUAUGAUUGAGCACAUGCAUCCCCCCCAUCCCCUCUCUUCCCCCAAUCAGAAUUAUAACAGGUUGCAUUUACAUGUGUCUUGUAUGCCCUCAAAUCUCAGUGUACCACUUGGGAAUUUAUGUAAAGAUAAAAAAGCAUUCCGA
This is a long non-coding RNA of Eriocheir sinensis (Chinese mitten crab), 1090 nucleotides long. RefSeq lists it as uncharacterized. Lineage: Eukaryota; Metazoa; Arthropoda; Malacostraca; Decapoda; Varunidae. The transcript is spliced from 2 exons. The record is from RefSeq and is a predicted model, not a curated record.